Long non-coding RNA from Archocentrus centrarchus (flier cichlid), 562 nucleotides. RefSeq lists it as uncharacterized. The record is from RefSeq and is a predicted model, not a curated record. The transcript is spliced from 3 exons. Lineage: Eukaryota; Metazoa; Chordata; Actinopteri; Cichliformes; Cichlidae.
GGCAACGAAGGACGAGCAUUACCAUAAAGCUUAGGGUAGAAGCGCAAGAAAAUUUACGCGACGGCUGAUCUGCGGCUGGCUUGACCGCGGCUCACAAUUGACGGCUCACUUGACCGCAGUUGUUCCUCAGUUCUGGUCCUCCGGAGAGGACCCGGCCCGCCCACGGACAGAGGCUCUCGCACAGAAAGCAGGGAGUGGACGGCAGCGCUUCUCUACGGUUGCCUGUCUGUCCUUGACGCCAGCAGACACAGGGAGGGAGAGACAUGCGUUUCCAUGGCGACAAGUGGCUGUAGCCCCUUCCCCAUGUGCUGGGAGAGAGAAUAUGACAGACACCUAGCAGCGACAGUGUCUGCAGGGAAAACCAUGGCAACAGCCUACCUGGACCCCAACCUGAAUCAUACCCUCCUAGGAGGGGCCAAGUCGCGGCUGAGUGCAGGGGGAUCAGACCGAACCAUGGCCGGCUCCGUGGACAGGGUUCUGAAAGUCUUCCAUCACUUUGAGACCAACUGUGAAAACAGCUGCUGGUCUUCCAAUAUCAGAUAUGGAGAUGCAACUGAUGUCA